This is a long non-coding RNA of Onthophagus taurus, 674 nucleotides long. RefSeq lists it as uncharacterized. Lineage: Eukaryota; Metazoa; Arthropoda; Insecta; Coleoptera; Scarabaeidae. The record is from RefSeq and is a predicted model, not a curated record.
AAAAUAAAUAUAAUGAGAAAACAAGGUUUAAACAAGUUCCACAAAGUUUGAAGCAUCCACAUUGGGGGUUAUUCGAGUUGAUAUACACCAAAAGAUGUAAUAAGGUGAAAAUUCGAGUAAAUUGUUGGAUAUUAAACGAGAUAAACAUGUUUUGACUCAUAAAUGUUAUUGAUUAUGUGCCAAAUACUUGGUUCUGGAAAUAAUUUGAAAAAUAAUUUAAUUCAAAAAAUGGUAUAUUAAGACAAUAACAGCAAAGUUAAUGUUGAUCCAAUUUGUUGGGGACUGAAAAAAUGUUGUUUGAUAAGAAAGUAUUGUGUAUUGUAACUAAGAAUUUGUUAUCAAGGCAAAAUUAAAAUAGAAUUUGUUAAGAUAUUACAAAAUUUCAAGCUAAAUGAUUCACCCUGUAUAUAAAACAAUUAAUGUUUCAGUUUUAAUUGUUGAAUUAUGAUGUAUUUGUAUGACAAAAACCUUGUUGCAGUAAAUAACUUUUCCAAGUAAUUAAUUUGACACAAUAGAGAGAUUAUUUUGAGAUGGAUCAACUUAAUUUAAUUAACAAACACCUUUCAAUGCGGAGAAAUUUAAAAAAAUAACCUUUAAAUUAAAACCUUGAAACCUUAUUGUUGAGUUUAUAAUUAAUAGAAGGUGUAAUAAAUAAAAUUACGAAUUUAAGCCAA